UACGGGGGGAGCAAGCGUUGUUCGGAUUUACUGGGCGUAAAGGGCGCGGUAGGCGGUCGUGACAAGUCACUUGUGAAAUCUCCGGGCUUAACUCGGAACGGUCAAGUGAUACUGUCGGACUAGAGUACAGAAGGGGGCAACUGGAAUUCUCGGUGUAGCGGUGAAAUGCGUAGAUAUCGAGAGGAACACCUGCGGCGAAGGCGGGUUGCUGGACUGACACUGACGCUGAAGCGCGAAAGCUAGGGGAGCGAACGGG
Molecule: ribosomal RNA, 256 nt
Filed under: uncultured bacterium
Lineage: Bacteria
Description: partial 16S ribosomal RNA
Rfam family: Bacterial small subunit ribosomal RNA
Source: RNAcentral